CUAAAGAAAUGCUGCAAUGACAUUCCAGAAUCGUCUUGUUUUGCUGGGAUGAUGAACUAUCACCUUGCUGAUGCAGAACUUGCAGUUGAGAGUGUUCAACUUGCUGCUGUGGAUUAUGAUGUGGAUGUGAAAAAUUCUCUUGUUGUGGGGAUUGAAGAUAUACAUGAAGUGGAGAAACAUGGGGCUGUUGCAACAUUUGCAAUGGCUGCACUUGCAUUUGAACAGG
Molecule: long non-coding RNA, 226 nt
Filed under: Actinidia chinensis (golden kiwifruit)
Lineage: Eukaryota; Viridiplantae; Streptophyta; Magnoliopsida; Ericales; Actinidiaceae
Description: long non-coding RNA (ACHI_LNC000734)
Source: RNAcentral